CAGAAAUUCCUUAAAGUGGCCUUCAAAUGUCGAAUCUGAGCCUAGUCCAGAGGAUUAUUUGUAAGGAGUAAACUAAGGGUGAGCUUAAAAAGCUCAGUCUGAGUCCAUACAGUAUAACAUUCAAUCAAUUAAACAAACAUUCAUUUAUUACAUAGUUCAACCAAUCUGUCAUGGCAUUACAACAUAUGAGUAUGACAUGCUAAAUGUUUCAAUGCAACAAUCCUACACAUUCAUCCGCUACACACCACAAGUUCCCCAGAACCCAUUAACCGAACUCCAAAAUAGUAUGGGCUUAAGCCCGUUGUGGUUAAAACCACCAAUAUCAAUAUGCAGAUAGAACUACUAGUAAAAAUUAAUUGCAGGCAAGUUGUAGUAUAAAUGCGAUAAAUCGCCCAAACACCUCAAAUCUCCGCUGCAGUACAUUGGCAGUAGUAAUGCGGACUUUAAAUGCCGCCUAGUUCUCCACAGAACUCCUCCGCUAACCUCAAAAACCCAUUCCAUGCAAAUGCAAUUUUGACAUACCAUCAGUAAAGCACAUCAUGAUUAUUAGUAAAGUUUUGAUAUAGUGGCAUGCUUAUCAUGCUUUUCAGUAAAUAAUAACAGUGUACAUCUAACAUACUUUCAAUAAUCAAAAUCAGUGGCAUAUGUACAUGCUUUUAAUACGGUUAAAAUUAAAUAUGGCACGUAACAUAAUUUCAUACAUAUCACAAUUUCAGUCAUGGCAACAUAGACACACGUAAACAAGGAUACAUAACCUAUCAUGUUAUAUUUGCAUUCAGCUCACACAUUUGUCACCCAAAAACAAUGUUUAACAAUCAAUUUUUGAAAUAUUUGUGUACCUGAUUCGGCACCCCACUUAUUAACAUUUAGGUCAUUCAGUCAAACAACAAUCACCAAGCAAACAAUAAUAUUUAAGUAUAUUAAUUUAAAUUUAAUUUAUUUAGUUUCAGGGAAGACCCCCACCUGAUUAACAUGAGUAUGAAGUCCUAACUUAGCACUGCAGCUCCUAGGACUGAGAUCCAACUAAAUUUCAUUUAGAUCUAUACAUUUCUAAGAAUAACAUGAGUUAGAACUAGCCCAAAAUAACCCUAUAGGGUUUGACCAUAAUAGGGAAAAUAUAGUGACCACUUAGAUUCAUUUUUAGGAUUCCUACUUACUUUGUUUCGACUAACAAUAGAGACACGAACAACUUCUUUUAUCACCACUAAUUUGGAAUGUUUAGAUUCAUCCCUUCAAUGAGAAUAAUUUACAAAAUCAAUAUAAGAAGAUUGACUAAAGCAUUAAACAUAAUCGAUCAAAAAAAAAAAAGAAGGGACACAACGUUAAAUCUUAUUAGAAUCAACACUUACACUUUACCUGUUUCAGCUCUAAAAUGAAUGAUAGACAAGUAAUGACCUGAAUAACCACCACGAGGGCCAAGGAGUUUUGGACAAGGGUGAGAAAACACAAAAACCAGAAAGAUUAGGAUCAAGAGAAGAGAAAACAAUAGUGAAAGUGACAGCCAUGAUAACUAGAGGAAGAAAGAGGAAGAACAACACAAAAAUAAAAAGAAAGCUAGACUUGGGUGGAAACAAUAGAGAAGGGGAAAAGAAAGAAAAGAAAAUAGAAAGCAAGAGAAGAGAGAGACGACACAAAAGGAAAAAAGAAGAGAAAUGAUGACCUC
Molecule: long non-coding RNA, 1663 nt
Filed under: Gossypium barbadense (sea-island cotton)
Lineage: Eukaryota; Viridiplantae; Streptophyta; Magnoliopsida; Malvales; Malvaceae
Description: long non-coding RNA (GBAR_LNC003409)
Source: RNAcentral